The sequence is a ribosomal RNA, 629 nucleotides long. It matches the Rfam family "Bacterial small subunit ribosomal RNA", at positions 37 to 681 of the family's 1533-position model.
UAGCAGGGCGGCGUCUUACCAUGCAAGUCGAACGGUAAGGCCCUUCGGGGUACACGAGUGGCGAACGGGUGAGUAACACGUGGGUAAUCUGCCCUGCACUUCGGGAUAAGCCUGGGAAACUGGGUCUAAUACCGGAUAUUCAGCUCCUGCCGCAUGGUGGGGGUUGGAAAGUUUUUCGGUGCAGGAUGAGCCCGCGGCCUAUCAACUUGUUGGUGGGGUUAUGGCCUUCCAUGGCGACGACGGGUAGCCGGCCUGAGAGGGUGAUCGGCCACACUGGGACUGAGACACGGCCCAGACUCCUACGGGAGGCAGCAGUGGGGAAUAUUGCACAAUGGGCGAAAGCCUGAUGCAGCGACGCCGCGUGGGGGAUGACGGUCUUCGGAUUGUAAACCCCUUUCAGUAGGGACGAAGCGCAAGUGACGGUACCUGCAGAAGAAGCACCGGCCAACUACGUGCCAGCAGCCGCGGUAAUACGUAGGGUGCGAGCGUUGUCCGGAAUUACUGGGCGUAAAGAGCUCGUAGGCGGUUUGUCGCGUCGUCCGUGAAAACUCGGAGCUUAACUCCGAGCUUGCGGGCGAUACGGGCAGACUUGAGUACUACAGGGGAGACUGGAAUUCCUGGUGUAGCGG